This 424-nucleotide ribosomal RNA is filed under the name uncultured bacterium. RNAcentral's name for it is "bacterial SSU rRNA". It matches the Rfam family "Bacterial small subunit ribosomal RNA", at positions 508 to 930 of the family's 1533-position model. The record is from RNAcentral.
GCAGCAGCCGCGGUAAUACGAAGGUGGCGAGCGUUGUUCGGAAUCACUGGGCUUAAAGCGCAUGUAGGCGGCCCUUCAAGCGUCUUGUGAAAUCCCUCGGCUCAACCGGGGAAUGGCUGGGCGAACUGUAGGGCUUGAGGCAAGUAGGGGUGCGUGGAACUCUUGGUGGAGCGGUGAAAUGCGUAGAUAUCAAGAGGAACGCCGGCGGCGAAAGCGGCGCACUGGGCUUGUCCUGACGCUGAGAUGCGAAAGCUAGGGGAGCAAACGGGAUUAGAUACCCCGGUAGUCCUAGCCGUAAACGAUGCCUACUAGGUUGGAGUCUCUCUGACGGGAUUCCGGUCGGAACGAAAGCGUUAAGUAGGCCGCCUGGGGAGUACGGUCGCAAGGCUAAAACUCAAAGGAAUUGACGGGGGCCCGCACAAGU